GACGAACGCUGGCGGCGUGCCUAAUACAUGCAAGUUGAGCGAUGAAGCUUGGUGCUUGCCCCAAUUUGAAGAGCAGCGAACGGGUGAGUAACGCGUGGGGAAUCUGCCUUUGAGCGGGGGACAACAUUUGGAAACGAAUGCUAAUACCGCAUAACAACUUUAAACAUAAGUUUUAAGUUUGAAAGAUGCAAUUGCAUCACUCAAAGAUGAUCCCGCGUUGUAUUAGCUAGUUGGUGAGGUAAAGGCUCACCAAGGCGAUGAUACAUAGCCGACCUGAAAGGAGGGUCAGGGAAGCGGGAACUGAGCAACGGUCAAGAGUCCUAGGGAAGGCAGACGUGGGGAAAAUUGGAGAAUGGGGGAAAGCAUAAGCAAGCAAUGCGGGGGGUGUGAAGAAGGUGUUCGGAUUGAAAAGACAUUUAAGGUGGGAGGAAGGGCAGUAAGUUAAUACCUUACUGUUUUGACGUUACCAACAGAAUAAGCACCGGCUAACUUCGUG
Molecule: ribosomal RNA, 496 nt
Filed under: uncultured bacterium
Lineage: Bacteria
Description: partial 16S ribosomal RNA
Rfam family: Bacterial small subunit ribosomal RNA
Source: RNAcentral